ACUACGAGCUUAGCUAAAAACCCAAAGGACUUGACGGUACCCCAUAUCCCCCUAGAGGAGCCUGUCCUAUAAUCGAUAAUCCACGUUAAACCUCACCAUUUUUAGUUACUCAGCCUGUAUACCUCCGUCGUCAGCUUACCACGUGAGCGCCAAUUAGUGAGCCUAAUGUUUAUUCACCAACACGUCAGGUCAAGGUGCAGCAAAUGAAAUGGAAAGAGAUGGGCUACACUUUCUAAAUUAGAAGAAACGAAAAACUAUCUAUGAAACCUAGUUAGAAGGCGGAUUUAGCAGUAAAAAGGAAUCAGCACGUCCAUUUUAACCCGGCACUGGGGUGUGUACACACCGCCCGUCACCCUCUUCAAAGCUAUCAGCCUAGUCCUUAACAAACUAAAGCACGACAGAAGAGGCAAGUCGUAACAUGGUAA
Molecule: ribosomal RNA, 425 nt
Filed under: Bufo gargarizans (Asiatic toad)
Lineage: Eukaryota; Metazoa; Chordata; Amphibia; Anura; Bufonidae
Description: partial 12S ribosomal RNA
Rfam family: Bacterial small subunit ribosomal RNA
Source: RNAcentral